UCUUAUGAUGACAAAAGGCCAUUGGCCUGACCUAAUCCCAGCUCUUCGAAUGCCUCACUUAAUAACGCUAGAGUGCAUUGUGAGAUGAAUUUUACUCUGACAGA
RNAcentral lists this small nucleolar RNA (104 nucleotides) under Pochonia chlamydosporia 170. Its description in RNAcentral is "A. fumigatus snoRNA Afu_304". It matches the Rfam family "A. fumigatus snoRNA Afu_304". Lineage: Eukaryota; Fungi; Ascomycota; Sordariomycetes; Hypocreales; Clavicipitaceae. The record is from Rfam by way of RNAcentral.